AUUGAACGCUGGCGGCAUGCCUUACACAUGCAAGUCGAACGGCAGCAUGAUCUAGCUUGCUAGAUUGAUGGCGAGUGGCGAACGGGUGAGUAAUACAUCGGAACGUGCCCUGUAGUGGGGGAUAACUAGUCGAAAGAUUAGCUGAUACCGCAUACGACCUGAGGGUGAAAGUGGGGGACCGCAAGGCCUCAUGCUAUAGGUGCGGCCGAUGUCUGAUUAGCUAGUUGGUGAGGUAAAGGCUCACCAAGGCGACGAUCAGUAGCUGGUCUGAGAGGACGAUCAGCCACACUGGGACUGAGACACGGCCCAGACUCCUACGGGAGGCAGCAGUGGGGAAUUUUGGACAAUGGGCGAAAGCCUGAUCCAGCAAUGCCGCGUGUGUGAAGAAGGCCUUCGGGUUGUAAAGCACUUUUGUCCGGAAAGAAAUGGCUCUGGUUAAUACCUGGGGUCGAUGACGGUACCGGAAGAAUAAGGACCGGCUAACUACGUG
This 490-nucleotide ribosomal RNA is filed under the name uncultured bacterium. RNAcentral's name for it is "partial 16S ribosomal RNA". It matches the Rfam family "Bacterial small subunit ribosomal RNA", at positions 30 to 507 of the family's 1533-position model. The record is from RNAcentral.